AACGACUCUCGGCAACGGAUAUCUCGGCUCACGCAUCGAUGAAGAACGUAGCAAAAUGCGAUACUUGGUGUGAAUUGCAGAAUCCCGUGAACCAUCGAGUUUUUGAACGCAAGUUGCGCCCAAAGCCAUUCGGCCGAGGGCACGUCUGCCUGGGCGUCACGC
This 162-nucleotide ribosomal RNA is filed under the name Chaetanthera revoluta. Its description in RNAcentral is "5.8S ribosomal RNA". It matches the Rfam family "5.8S ribosomal RNA". Rfam says of the family: 5.8S ribosomal RNA (5.8S rRNA) is a component of the large subunit of the eukaryotic ribosome. It is transcribed by RNA polymerase I as part of the 45S precursor that also contains 18S and 28S rRNA. Lineage: Eukaryota; Viridiplantae; Streptophyta; Magnoliopsida; Asterales; Asteraceae. The record is from RNAcentral.